Molecule: ribosomal RNA, 748 nt
Filed under: uncultured Actinomycetes bacterium
Lineage: Bacteria; Bacillati; Actinomycetota; Actinomycetes
Description: bacterial SSU rRNA
Rfam family: Bacterial small subunit ribosomal RNA
Source: RNAcentral
AAACCGGUGCUAAUACCGAAUAUUGAAACAUAAGUGGCAUCACUGAGUUUUGAAAGAAUUUCGGUGGAGGAUGACUUCGCGGCCUAUCAGCUAGUUGGUGAGGUAAUGGCUCACCAAGGCAACGACGGGUAGCCGGCCUGAGAGGGCGACCGGCCACACUGGGACUGAGACACGGCCCAGACUCCUACGGGAGGCAGCAGUGGGGAAUAUUGGGCAAUGGAGGAAACUCUGACCCAGCGACGCCGCGUGCGGGAUGAAGGCCUUCGGGUUGUAAACCGCUUUCAGUAGGGAAGAAGCGAAAGUGACGGUACCUACAAAAGAAGCACCGGCUAACUAUGUGCCAGCAGCCGCGGUAAUACAUAGGGUGCAAGCGUUGUCCGGAAUUAUUGGGCGUAAAGAGCUCGUAGGUCGUUUGUUACGUCGGAUGUGAAAACCUGAGGCUCAACCUCAGGCCUGCAUUCGAUACGGGCAAACUAGAGUUUGGUAGGGGAGACUGGAAUUCCUGGUGUAGCGGUGGAAUGCGCAGAUAUCAGGAGGAACACCAAUGGCGAAGGCAGGUCUCUGGGCCAAUACUGACACUGAGGAGCGAAAGUCUGGGGAGCGAACAGGAUUAGAUACCCUGGUAGUCCAGACCGUAAACGGUGGGCACUAGUUGUGGGAACCUUCCACGGUUUCUGCGACGCAGCUAACGCCAUUAAGUGCCCCGCCUGGGGAGUACGAUCGCAAGAUUAAAACUCAAAGGAAUUGA